This 94-nucleotide microRNA precursor is filed under the name Canis lupus familiaris (dog). RNAcentral describes it as "mir-8799 microRNA precursor family". It matches the Rfam family "mir-8799 microRNA precursor family". RNAcentral also lists the same sequence under 1 other name. The record is from Rfam by way of RNAcentral. Lineage: Eukaryota; Metazoa; Chordata; Mammalia; Carnivora; Canidae.
GGAAGGAGCGCUGGAUCUUGGGCUGUGUCCCCUAGUGCCCUGGGCUCCGGGGCCUGCUCCACUGGAAUCAUGCUACGGGGGCGCGCAGCCCACU